CAUUUUGAAGUUUGAGCAACUUUACAUUGCCAAACAUGUCCAAAUGUUCUCAAACCUUGUGGACUUGCUCAAAUGGUCUAAUAAUUCAUCUAGACCAAAUGGCACAAGUUGGAGAGCAAGUUAACUUGAUCAAAGUGCCCCAAAACCCUUUCUGUCCAGAACCUUAUUUGAACAACUUUGCAUUACCAACUUUCUCUCCUUGACACCAACUUUUGUGAGCAUGAUCACAUGACCAAAUGAGGCCACCACACCAAGUGGUGCAUCAAGGAGAAGUGAUUUGCUCAACUAAAUCUACACAAGUUCAUUUCUGCUAAUUUCUAGGGUUUACCAAAGUUGCAUUGUCAACUUUCUUCAAAUGACCUCCAAAUUGGUGGGAGGCCCUAAUUAUAUGUGUCAUAUCACCCUAUGGAGUCUCAUGGCUUAUGGGGAUCAUCUACUUUCCCAAACCAACAUCAAACACCUUCUGGCAUUUUGCAAAAACCACUAUUUGGACCCCUUCCACUAAUCUCCAUGACUUCUCCUUUUUACCACAGCCCCUCCUAGUUCCCCUCUACCUCUGGUGUGCUUCCCUGCCCGAGAGGCAAUGAUUAAGGGGGGAAGGGCUCCAUUUUUCUUCUCUGGACAUCCACUUUUUCCUUCCUUUGUCAUCUCUCUCUCACCCCUGGCAUGUUGCAGAGCAUCCAAAGCUUCUUUCACCUUUGUUUAUCCCCCCUGCAGCUACCAGACACAAGUGGACGCGCGGGUGCGCGCAAAAAGCUGCGGGUGCCGGCCAUUCGCGCGCUCUGGAGCACGUCAACGUGCUCCCGACCGUUGACACGGCACUCCCGACCACCUCGAGCCUCCCCCUCGCGCCAGUCGAUGCUCCUCGACGUCCACAACACGACACCGAGCUGGCCCCCUCCUCCUUCUCCCUCCUGCUGCCUCCUUUCACACGCGCGCCGGCCGCCCGAGAGCUCCAAUGGGCAUGCUCACACGCGCGGCGCCCUGACACUCACCCGCUCCUUCUCUUCCCUCCUCUAGCCCUGGACCAACCCCACGAACACCCCAGACAUACCCACGCGCGCCCCCGUGACCUCCAGCGACGGCUAGGAGCUCGCCGGCGCACGAGUCCACGGCACCCCGCCGUUCGCUUAUUUAAAGGCACCGCCGAGCUCUCUCUGGCCUCCUUUCGCUCCCUCUCCCUCCUAUGAACCCCCUGAACCAACCCACUCCCCUCCUCGCGCCCUCCAUAGCCCUCCAUGGCCGGAGAUCCGCCGCCGGCCUCCACCUAAAUUCAGCCGAGCCCGAGCUCCUCUCCCUCUCCCCUCUCCACCAGCAGCCUCCCCUGAGCAAGGCGGAGCUCCCACGCUCUUUCCCUCGUCCGGGGACGCACCGUAGCGCCAUGCCCAAACUCACCCGACGCCACCGUCCGCCGGCAUCCAAGCCGCCGUCGCCUNNNNNNNNNNCCUCUUACGGAAGGGAUGUGAGAUAUACACGGAUCACAAGGGUCUGAAGUAUAUUUUCACUCAAAAGGAAUUGAACACGAGGCAAAGAAGAUGGCUAGACUUGAUCAAAGAUUAUGACCUCAGUGUUCAAUACCACCCUAGGAAGGCUAAUGUGGUAGCAGAUGCAUUAAGCAGAAAGGCUUGUUCCUUGAAUGCUAUGCUUAAGGACAGGCUGCCCGCCUUGUAUGAAGAACUUGAAAGCUUCGGGUUGGAACUGGUUGCACCAGGAUUCUUAACUAACCUUGAAGUCAAGCCUUCAGGUGGCACCAUUUGAAGUGUUAUACGGACGGAAGUGCCGCAUACCCCUCAAUUAGUCAGAAACCGGAGAAGGACUUGUCUUUGGGCCUGAUAUCCUCCGUGAAACCGAAGAGCAAGUCCAGCUUGUCGGAGAGCGUUGGAGGACUGCCAAGUCAAGACGAAAGAACUACGCUGACUCAUGUCGUCGAGGCAUGACCCUCCGAGUUGGAGACCAUGUUUAUCUCCGGGUCACCCUCCCAAAGGAACCCAGCGCUUCCAUGUCAAAGGAAAGCUCGCCCCAAGAUUCAUCGGCCUUCUGCAGGAUCACUCCAAGAUUUAACAACCUCUUCUGAGAUCACUACGAGACGGAGAGAAGACAAUUACCAGCUGGAGUUGCCCCCUGAGCUACCUGAUGUGCACAAUGCUUUCCAUGCAUCACAACCCCGGAAGUGUUUCCAACUUCCUAGCUAGCCCGAGCACUAAUAAGGACAUUGACCACCGGGCCAUAGACCCCUAGCCCAAUCUAACCUACUGCGAGCUACACAUUAGCAGUUUGGAUCAAGAAGAGCGUCAUGCACGAAGCCACAACACCAGGUCCUUCAAGAUUCCAAGGAGCACCACUCAGUAGCAGAAGCAGUAUGAGGACGUGAAGAUUACCCCAGAUCCAAGAUUCUGUACUCCUUUCCGCGCCUAGUCUAGGAAUCUCGGGGACGAGAUUCUUGUAAGGGGGGUAGGUCUGUCACACCCUGAUUUUCAUGGCACAACACUUAAGUCAUUAGAUCAUGCUGAAAUGUGGUUUGACAAAAACUUUUGAGUGUUUUGGACUUUGCUUGAUUUGAUUUUUGUCUGCUGUUUGCAAGUGCUCUAAAAAUCAAGUAAACCCUCCAACUUCUAUACUUCAUCUCCUUGAUCCAAAACCUUUACCAAUGAUCAUGCCAUGUGUAUAGGAUAUAAAAAUAAUUUCUGGAAAAAAUAAUUUGGCCAAAUAGUAUUUUCAAAAAUUAGUUUUCUAAAAACCCCUAAAUUGAGGUUUGCACUGCAAAUACUUAAUUAAGGGCAGUAAAAAUCUUUCUAAAAAUGUAUUUGACUCCUAUUAGAUAUAGGAUACCCAGAAACCACAGAAAUAUAAUUUUAAAAGAUAUUUUCCUAUUUUAUUUAAAGGAUUUUUCUUAAGGCCAGAAAUGGUCUUUAAUAGGUAAAAAUUAUUUUAUUGCUUCAAAAACAUUUGACAAAAUUCAGGGAGACUCAUAGGACAUAUAUAGUCCAUAUAUAAGAGUUUCAACACAUGGUUAUGUUCAAAAUAUUGGUCAAACCCCUCAAAGACCCUUUCUGGAUAUUUCAAGCUUUUGAAAUAUUUACAAAGGAAAUAUUCUCCAAAUAUUCCAAGAAAAUUCUAUCAUGUCACAUAUGACAUAUUUGGUGAUCUUGCCAAGUCUCAUGACUUGGAGAACAAGAUAGCAUCAUCAAAACCUCUCAAAACCAUUUCUGUCCAUUUUGAAGUUUGAGCAACUUUACAUUGCCAAACAUGUCCAAAUGUUCUCAAACCUUGUGGACUUGCUCAAAUGGUCUAAUAAUUCAUCUAGACCAAAUGGCACAAGUUGGAGAGCAAGUUAACUUGAUCAAAGUGCCCCAAAACCCUUUCUGUCCAGAACCUUAUUUGAACAACUUUGCAUUACCAACUUUCUCUCCUUGACACCAACUUUUGUGAGCAUGAUCACAUGACCAAAUGAGGCCACCACACCAAGUGGUGCAUCAAGGAGAAGUGAUUUGCUCAACUAAAUCUACACAAGUUCAUUUCUGCUAAUUUCUAGGGUUUACCAAAGUUG
This 3547-nucleotide long non-coding RNA is filed under the name Triticum aestivum (bread wheat). RNAcentral describes it as "long non-coding RNA (TAES_LNC016362)". Lineage: Eukaryota; Viridiplantae; Streptophyta; Magnoliopsida; Poales; Poaceae. The record is from RNAcentral.